Molecule: long non-coding RNA, 753 nt
Organism: Mustela erminea (ermine)
Lineage: Eukaryota; Metazoa; Chordata; Mammalia; Carnivora; Mustelidae
Exons: 3
Source: RefSeq, a predicted model, not a curated record
UGGUUUUAGACAGGUCACUGGCCAGAUUGAAAUGCCAUACACAUUGUCUAGAUAAGGCAAAUAGCUGACUGAAGAAGGCAUCCCCCAAUAUUGAGGUUCUGAAAUACUCUGUUGAUCUGAAAUUUUAUGAUCAUCCAAUCAUGGCCCAGAAAUAACAGCCAGGAUUCCCCAUGCCCAAGAAACCUUCCACUGCCUGGCCUAUGACAAUUUUAGAAGAUCUCACCAUUUCAAAGAACUUAAAAUAUAAUGAAAACACAGACCUAUGUAAUAAGAAGCAUUAAAGAGAUUGCAAUCUACUGCUAAAUCAACUGUUUGCAGGACGUGUGUGAUACUGACGGCAGGGAGCAGAUGCCUGGUUUUUAUUUCCCUCUUUACUGCUGACUUACUGUACAACUUUUAUCCAUGCAAUUAACUUUUUUAUUCUUGAUUCACCUAAUUUAACUAUAAUGGCCAUUAUGAAAAUCACCAAAACAUGUAUUUAUUUUCUUCUCACUUACCUUUUUGUGUUACCAACAUAUGUAAAGAAAUUCUUUAGGGAACUUUAUAUUGUUAGAUGUUAUAUCAUCUCUCUAAUAUUGUUUUUCUCAUUUUUUCCCUCUGUCUUUGGUAGCAUUCAGUCAAAUGCUUUCUAAAGCUAGGAAGGAGAAAGAUGAGAAAGAAGGCCCUAUUUGAUUUCCUCAAUCUAUUAAACUACAAGUCAUAGUAUACUGGUGGAUUAUAUAAUUAUUUUAAUGGAUUACAAUAAAAUAUGAC